Molecule: long non-coding RNA, 309 nt
Organism: Osmerus eperlanus (European smelt)
Lineage: Eukaryota; Metazoa; Chordata; Actinopteri; Osmeriformes; Osmeridae
Exons: 3
Source: RefSeq, a predicted model, not a curated record
ACACUUUCAGACACAAUCAGAGCCAUAGAGGAGGAGCUGAGAGCUAAAGACAUCUCAUUCCUGCAGAACUACAAGGACACAGUGAAAAGAGCCCAGUCCACUCUGCCGGAUCCACAGCUGGUCUCAGGAGCGCUGAUAGACGUGGCCAAACACCUGGGCAACCUGACCUUCAGAGUCUGGGAGAAGAUUCAGGACAUUGUCACAUACAGCGAGUAUUAGAUCAUGUAGUAAUACUCAAUAUAGUACUUACAGUAUUCUGCAUUACUGAUCAUGAUCUGUCUUAUCAUGAUAACUGUCCAUAGACCAUUC